This 490-nucleotide ribosomal RNA is filed under the name uncultured bacterium. RNAcentral describes it as "partial 16S ribosomal RNA". It matches the Rfam family "Bacterial small subunit ribosomal RNA", at positions 30 to 507 of the family's 1533-position model. The record is from RNAcentral.
AUUGAACGCUGGCGGCAGGCCUAACACAUGCAAGUCGAACGGUAACAGGAAGACGCUUGCUUCUUUGCUGACGAGUGGCGGACGGGUGAGUAAUGUCUGGGCAACUUCCUGAUGGAGGGGGAUAACUACUGGAAACGGUAGCUAAUACCGCAUAACGUCGCAAGCCCAACGUGGGGGACCUUCGGGCCUCUUGCUCUCGGCUGUGCCCAGAUGGGAUUUGCUAGUAGGUGGGGUAACGGCUCACCUAGGCGACCAUCCCUAGCUGGUCUGCGAGGAGGACCAGCCACACUGGAACGGAGACACGGUCCAGACUCCUCCGGGAGGCAGCAGUGGGGAAUAUUGCACAAUGGGCGCAAGCCUGAUGCAGCCAUGCCGCGUGGAUGAAGAGGGCCUUCGGGUUGUAAAGUACGUUCAGCGGGGAGGAAGGGAGUAAAGUUAAUACCUUCGCUCAUUGGCGUUACCCGCAGAAGAAGCACCGGCUAACUCCGUG